RNAcentral lists this small nuclear RNA (96 nucleotides) under Apaloderma vittatum (bar-tailed trogon). RNAcentral describes it as "7SK RNA". It matches the Rfam family "7SK RNA", at positions 6 to 101 of the family's 331-position model. From Rfam's summary of the family: 7SK was discovered as an abundant small nuclear RNA in the mid-70s but a possible function has only recently been suggested. Two independent studies have found that 7SK RNA binds the CDK9/cyclin T complex (known as elongation factor P-TEFb). Lineage: Eukaryota; Metazoa; Chordata; Aves; Trogoniformes; Trogonidae. The record is from Rfam by way of RNAcentral.
UGAGGGCAAUCUGGCUGUGACAUCUCUCACCCCAUUGAUUGCCAGGGUCGAUCCAGCUGAUCUGGCCAGCUAGGCGCAUGUCCCCUUCCUCCCUCA